RNAcentral lists this unclassified non-coding RNA (244 nucleotides) under Hevea brasiliensis (rubber tree). The record is from RNAcentral. Lineage: Eukaryota; Viridiplantae; Streptophyta; Magnoliopsida; Malpighiales; Euphorbiaceae.
AGAAUAAGGAUCUAAAGCAACAUCAGUGUAAAUAACGAUGUCAGGAUAUUUGUCCUUAAGCAGGCGUAUUGCUCGAGGAACUAGUCCAUUGUCAUUGUACGCUUCAUCUCCUGUGGGUGUCUUCAAUGCAUCAGGAAUUUUGGGGAAAAGAACAACACUAUUAACACCAACAUCCCGAGCCUGGUAGACCUCAUCAAGUAGGCCAUGCCUCCAACCCAGUCUGAAACAUCCCGGCAUGGCUCCA